RNAcentral lists this long non-coding RNA (2954 nucleotides) under Homo sapiens (human). RNAcentral's name for it is "long intergenic non-protein coding RNA 402". Lineage: Eukaryota; Metazoa; Chordata; Mammalia; Primates; Hominidae. The record is from RNAcentral.
GGGGGGAAGGAAAAAAAAACUGGGGAGAACUAGGCGGCUUUCUGAUCAGAGUUCAGAUAAAAAGGGUCACAGUAAUUUGUGGGCACUGACUAAAAUAACCCAAUGGAUUUGAGAGUUACCGCAAAAGAAGCAAACAGACAAACUAAAGAGAACUUGAACUUGGGUACUGACAAAUGAAGAUGAUGAACUUAUGUUUUUUACCUUCUUACCGUGGACUUCAGCCAUGAACUUGGUGAUGAGCCAGAGAAGGUAACUUUUCAUCCCCUACAAGACCUAUUCCAUGUUGCAGCUAACCUUAAAGAAAUCAUCACUUGGAACUGAUUCAGAAUCCCAUAUCACAUUUUGUUAUUACUUUUGCCUGGUCUCCUGCUGUCUGGAACAGUUUUUCAGUCUUCCUUCAUUUUCAAGAGUGUGAAAGGAUCCCAAGACCAAAAGUCUGGGAACUGCUGGUUUAGAGUCACAAUACUGACUGCUCAAAAUGACUUUUUAAAGAAGAAAGCCUUAAAAACCCUUGAGUGAAUGGUUGGUAUUUACAGACAAGCAAAUGUAUGGAAGAGAAACGAGAGACCCAGCCUGAAUCUGUUGAAUGAACGAAAGGGGAAAUGCCCUAAGGAGUCAGAUGGAAGAAGUUUUUCUGGGAAGAGCAGAACACAGGAGUUGGGGUGCAGACCUCCUGGAUCACCAGCAGAAGGAAAAGAGCAGUGAGACGUUAAAGUGAUUGAGACAAAAAUGGAAGUAAAACAGCUUAAGGCUUUCUGAGAUCGAGUUCCUGGCAGUGUCAUCAGCAGAUGGUUUCUUCUGAAGUUCAGGGGAAGAGAAGAUGCUCGAAGAACUCUCCAGGGACUGAGUGGGUGGUACAGAGCUAGUGCUGUAGAUGCCAUGUAUACAGGCAAAUUCCCCAAUGAGUGUUUUCCAAUAUCAAGUUUAACUGGCAUUUAAGAUAUAUGCCAAAGGUAGGUAAAUUAUUUUGGCCUGUGCUUAUAGGUUUAUUUCCCUGGAUGAAGCUUUCUGUCUCUGUCCUAGUGCACUGUAGCAGAUGCAGGGUCUUUCCAUACAAUACAUUAAAAGCUGCAUCUCAUUUUAAAUAUAUUAUAGAAACCCUGAUCAUACAAUACAUACAAGAUUUUUAAGAUCAGCCUUCAGUCGAUUUUUUUGCUUUAUUUUUGUUCUGGAGGUCAAAAUGAGUGGUUAACUGUCUAAGUUGAUUGCAGAGAAAGUUACUACUCAUUCUAAACGUAGGUUUUUAGAAAAGUGUUCUUGGCAGUUGCUACCAUUGGCUUUUUCCAACUUACAUGGGAAUCAAGAUUCAGAACUGGUACACCAAUGGGAAGAGCCUGGAAAAUAGACUAUUGAUCAAGAUGAAUCUGGUCCAGAUACUUUAAGACCUUUUCAGUGUGUUUUUAAGAUUAUAAGUUUGAACUAACAGAAACUUCAAUGCUGUUUUUUCACAAGUCAAUGUGUAGUGUACUGUUAUUCUUUUUUUUCCUGUAAUAUCUUAAUAAUAUUCCUGGCUGUAAGAAAAAGUUAACACUAUACCUAUGUUUUGACUUACUUUAUAGAAGACCCAAACAAUAUUUAACAAAAGGAUUUUUCUCAAAUACUAUUUUGAAAUCACUAUAUUAGACACUAUCUUAAAUUUAUUUCUCAAUUUGCUUCUUUUUGAAACUUCCACAUUUUGGUGUUCUUUUCAGCAUCACUCAUUUUCUUUCAUAAUAAAGAUACCCAAUAACAAUAUCAUAAUAAAGAUUUGAUAACAAAUCUCCAGUUUUGGAGUGUUACAUUUCAUAUCUACAUGCUUACAGAGAAUUUAGUAUGAAUAUUCCCUGGCCUUAGUUCCUCUAAGCCUAGGAUACUUGUAGUCAUUUGGCAAAUAAUUUAAUCCAUGGCAAACAUGAGUCUUAAUACAAAAAUUAUUGAGUAGGCAAAAAAUAAUUGAACAUAUUUUGGACUGAUUACCAGUGCAUUAAAAAAGUAGAGGUUUAAGGAUGAGAAUAAUAAGUUUUUUUGUUUUUACUUAAAUUUAUAUAAAAGGAGUGAAAAUACAGUAGCCUAUAGUACUUAAGAGUGUGGGUAUAUUUUCAGCACUUAAUAAUUACUAGUUGAAUUGCAUAAUAUGGGACUAUAACUGAUAUGGUUUGGCUCUGUGUCCCCGCCCAAAUCUCAUGUUGAAUUAUAAUUUCCAAUAUUGGAGGAGGUACCUAGUGGGAGGUGACUGGAUCAUUGGGGGAAAUUUCCCCCUUGCUGUCCUCAUGAUAGUGAGUGAGUUCUCACAAGAUCUGAUGGUUUAAAAGUGUGUGGCAUUUCCCCCUUUACUCUUUCUCUCUCCUGCUGGCCAUGAGAAUAAGUGCUUGCUUCCCAUUCACCUUCUGCCAUGCUUGUGUUUCCUGAGGCUUCCCAGCCAUGCUUCUUGUUCAAGCUGCAGAACUGUGAGUCAAUUAAACCUCAUUUCUUCAUAAAUUACCCAGUCUCAGCUCUUUAUGGGAGUGUGAGAAUGGACUAAUAAAAUAUCUCUAGAAUUAUGUUUUUGGAGAUAAUUUAAAGAUAAACAAAUAUUGGAAACCUCAUUUGAUCACACAGAGAACAGUAAAUGGAAGUUCUACUUUUUCUCCAGGGCCUUUCUCAUGCUUAUGCAGGGAUUAUUCACCCAGAUAUCCUGAAAUAAGACAUCCAAUUAAGGUACCUGCUAUCUCAUGUAACACAGAAGAAAGUUGAGCAUAGAGGUUAAACAUUACCUAAUAUUGUUGGAAAAGCUUCGAAGCGUUCAUUUUCAAAGCAGCUAAUGUAAACCAUGAUAAUCACUAGUAGCACUAUGCCAUUUUAAAUACUUCAAUAUUUUGUAGUUAUUAGAUUCUAAGUAAGUAUAAAAUGUAGUGAAUACAAAUUUUAUUUGCCUAAACAGUGUUAGACAAUAUAAAUUAACGAGUUAUUUUUUAUUCUGUUUAAUAUUUUCAAGC